This 69-nucleotide transfer RNA is filed under the name Ictidomys tridecemlineatus (thirteen-lined ground squirrel). RNAcentral's name for it is "Spermophilus tridecemlineatus (thirteen-lined ground squirrel) tRNA". It matches the Rfam family "tRNA". From Rfam's summary of the family: Transfer RNA (tRNA) molecules are approximately 80 nucleotides in length. Their secondary structure includes four short double-helical elements and three loops (D, anti-codon, and T loops). Lineage: Eukaryota; Metazoa; Chordata; Mammalia; Rodentia; Sciuridae. The record is from Rfam by way of RNAcentral.
GGGGUUGUAGCUCAGUGGUAGAGCACUUGCCUAGCACGCAUGUGGCACCAGUUUUGAUCCUCAGCACCA